This 628-nucleotide small RNA is filed under the name Pan troglodytes (chimpanzee). RNAcentral describes it as "retained intron". The record is from RNAcentral. Lineage: Eukaryota; Metazoa; Chordata; Mammalia; Primates; Hominidae.
AGGAAUCCCGGCGUGGACAGCGCGAGGAGAAAGAUGGCGGCGAUGGCGGUCGGGGGUGCUGGUGGGAGCCGCGUGUCCAGCGGGAGGGACCUGAAUUGCGUCCCCGAAAUAGCUGACACACUAGGGGCUGUGGCCAAGCAGGGGUUUGAUUUCCUCUGCAUGCCUGUCUUCCAUCCGCGUUUCAAGAGGGAGUUCAUUCAGGAACCUGCUAAGAAUCGGCCCGGUCCCCAGACACGAUCAGACCUACUGCUGUCAGGAAGGGGUAGGGACCAUCCCAUAUGCCCCUUAAUUAUUAGAGGCAACAACAACUUCUGCUUUAUCGGGGCCCUCAUUCUCCUCCUUUUCUGACUUGGAUAUAUUUGUUAGUCCCUGGGAUAUAGAUAACUUGUUUUCUCCUUGCUUCUCUAUUCUGCAUCAGGCUAUCCCAUGUCUAUGUAGAAAAAACCUUUGUCUCUCAUUUCUACUCUUGAUUCCCAAAACUAAAAAUUGAACAAGUAAAGUGCUGAACCUUAUUCAGUAUUUGUCUUUCUUGGGUGGGGGAGUGCAGACUGGAAUACGCUAAUUGUGGGAAAGCUUUCUCCAUGGAUUCGUCCAGACUCAAAAGUGGAGAAGAUUCGCAGGAACUCCG